Molecule: non-coding RNA, 818 nt
Organism: Paramuricea clavata
Lineage: Eukaryota; Metazoa; Cnidaria; Anthozoa; Malacalcyonacea; Plexauridae
Source: the annotation of a GenBank genome assembly
CAUCUCUCUGACUAAACCAAUAUGGAAGCUUUCGAACGACAAGAGUGUCAGGCUGCGAUACUUUGUGAAAAGAAACAGCAUGUUAUUGCUGUAUUGUUGCGAUCAUCAUUAUGACUUGUGUUUUACUAUAGCAAGUUUGCAUGGGACAUGUUGUCAUUUUAGCUUGAUAAAUAAUGCGUCUGAGCGAAGGAAUUGUGUUUAUAUUCCCAGUAGCGAGGCUCUUCUUUCUAUUAAACUUGGAUGACGUUAAAUCUCCGUGUAUCAUCAACGUGAAACAAGCGCAAUAUUUAAGGUUGGUAUACUACAAUGCAUUACAGUUUCCUAGCUUGUUAUUUAGUCAAAUUAUUAUCCGCUUUGUUGUUUUUAACCUUGUACUGUAACCCUAUUGUGUGUGUCUGUGUACUGUGUCACUGUGAUACAUAUGUACAUGCUUUGAGUUAAACAAAUUGCAUAAUAAAUUUUUGCUGAAGUAUGAUACGUGUUUGUAUCUAGUUGUGGAUAGAUUUUUACAUAUAUGUGCAUACAAUAGUGAUAUUUUUCAAUUUUCAUCUGUAAAAUAUUGCCGUAUUUGUGUGUUGUUCUAUAAAUAUUACUGUAAAUAGUGACACUUUUACAUUAGAUUUCUAAUUUUAGAGAUUACAGCUUAUGUACAAAAUAAUAAAAUAAAAAUUUUCUUGUUUUGAUUUUGUAGAAAGAGAUCUACUUGAGUGGUUGUCUGGUCUUGAAUCUGGUCAGCAUGGAUAUGGUAAUGAAGGUGAUAGGGCAGAAAUUGGUGACCAGUUAAGUGAUGAGGAUGAAAGUGACGAGGACAAAAUCAC